This is a non-coding RNA of Dipodomys ordii (Ord's kangaroo rat), 70 nucleotides long. NCBI's taxonomy places the organism in Eukaryota, Metazoa, Chordata, Mammalia, Rodentia, Heteromyidae. The record is from Rfam.
GGGAAGGUGGCUCAAUAGUAGAGUGCUUGCCUCACAUGCAUGAGGCCCUGGGUUCGAUUCCCUAGCCCCA